RNAcentral lists this ribosomal RNA (384 nucleotides) under uncultured bacterium. RNAcentral's name for it is "bacterial SSU rRNA". It matches the Rfam family "Bacterial small subunit ribosomal RNA", at positions 28 to 402 of the family's 1533-position model. The record is from RNAcentral.
GAUGAACGCUAGCGGCAGGCUUAACACAUGCAAGUCGAGGGGCAGCAUAAUGAAGUAGCAAUACGGAUUUGAUGGCGACCGGCGCACGGGUGCGUAACGCGUAUGUAACCUACCUUAUACAGGGGGAUAACCUUUCGAAAGGGAGACUAAUACCGCAUAACAUUACUUUGAGGCAUCUUGAGGUAAUUAAAUCUUCGGAGGUAUAAGAUGGGCAUGCGUAGCAUUAGCUAGAUGGUGCGGUAACGGCUCACCAAGUCGACGAUCAGUAGCCGGACUGAGAGGUUGACCGGCACAUUGGGACUGAGAUAGGCCCAGACUCCUACGGGAGGCAGCAGUGGGGAAUAUUGGGCAAAUGGACGCAAGUCUGACCCAGCAACGCCGCGU